Molecule: small RNA, 183 nt
Filed under: Arabidopsis thaliana (thale cress)
Lineage: Eukaryota; Viridiplantae; Streptophyta; Magnoliopsida; Brassicales; Brassicaceae
Description: ATSL154290
Source: RNAcentral
AUUUGGUUUUAUUUUGGAAUUGGGUUAUAUGGUGGAUGUAUUUGAAUCAAUAUUUAUAAAAUUUUAAAAUAUUAUUAAUAUGCUGUUUUAAUAAGGAUUAAAACUUCAGUUUUUUAACAAUUAUCUAAUGGAUUUGUGGUAUAGCGUUACCUAAUAACAAUUAUAAACUGUAAAAUAAAAAUA